AUGCGGCAAGGAGUUCCGGACGCCGCAGAACUACCGGCGCCACCUGCUGGUCCACACCGGCGAGAAGCCGUACAAGUGCGGCGUCUGCGACCGCCAGUUCAGACAGUCCAACCAGCUGAAGUCCCACAUGCAGCUGCACACGGGCGUCAAGCUGUACUCCUGCGGCCGCUGCCGCCAGGGCUUCUCCGACUCCCGGCAGCUCCGGAAGCACCGCUGCGGAGACGAGCCGCACGGCGUUCCCGAGGUCGGCGGCUCCGGACGGAACCAAGACGUGCAGCCGUGGACGGCAGCCGCCUCAGCCAGAAACCCCAGAGUCUCUGUGUGAAGAUCUGCAGACCUCUGCUUCCUGUCAUGAACUUCACCUGGACGCAGGUGGGAGGGGUCAGAGAGAGAAGACCUUACCUGGACUCAGGUGGGAGGGGUCAGAGAGAGAAGACUUUACCUGGACUCAGGUGGGAGGGGUCAGAGAGAGAAGACUUUACCUGGACUCAGGUGGGAGGGGUCAGAGAGAGAGAAGACCACCUGGACCCAGGUGGGAGGGGUCAGAGAGAGAAUACCACCUGGACCCAGGUGGGAGGGGUCAGAGAGGGAGAAGACUUUACCUGGACUCAGGUGGGAGGGGUCAGAGAGAGAAUACCACCUGGACCCAGGUGGGAGGGGUCAGAGAGAGAAUACCACCUGGACCCAGGUGGGAGGGGUCAGAGAGAGAAUACCACCUGGACUCAGGUGGGAGGGGUCAGAGAGAGAAGACCUUACCUGGACUCAGGUGGGAGGGGUCAGAGAGAGAGAAGACUUUACCUGGACUCAGGUGGGAGGGGUCAGAGAGAGAAGACUUUACCUGGACUCAGGUGGGAGGGUCAGAGAGAGAAGACUUUACCUGGACUCAGGUGGGAGGGUCAGAGAGAGAGAAGACCUUACCUGGACUCAGGUGGGAGGGGUCAGAGAGAGAAUACCACCUGGACGCAGGUGGGAGGGGUCAGAGAGAGAGAAGACUUCACCUGGACUCAGGUGGGAGGGGUCAGAGAGAGAAGACUUUACCUGGACUCAGGUGGGAGGGGUCAGAGAGAGAGAAGACUUACCUGGACUCAGGUGGGAGGGGUCAGAGAGAGAAGACUUUACCUGGACUCAGGUGGGAGGGGUCAGAGAGAGAAGACUUUACCUGGACUCAGGUGGGAGGGGUCAGAGAGAGAAGACCUUACCUGGACUCAGGUGGGAGGGGUCAGAGAGAGAAGACUUUACCUGGACUCAGGUGGGAGGGGUCAGAGAGAGAAGACCUUACCUGGACUCAGGUGGGAGGGGUCAGAGAGAGAGAAGACUUCACCUGGACUCAGGUGGGAGGGGUCAGAGAGAGAAGACUUUACCUGGACUCAGGUGGGAGGGGUCAGAGAGAGAAGACUUUACCUGGACUCAGGUGGGAGGGGUCAGAGAGAGAAGACCUUACCUGGACUCAGGUGGGAGGGGUCAGAGAGAGAAGACUUUACCUGGACUCAGGUGGGAGGGGUCAGAGAGAGAAGACUUUACCUGGACUCAGGUGGGAGGGGUCAGAGAGAGAAGACUUUACCUGGACUCAGGUGGGAGGGGUCAGAGAGAGAAGACUUUAUCUGGACUCAGGUGGGAGGGGUCAGAGAGAGAGAAGACUUCACCUGGACUCAGGUGGGAGGGGUCAGAGAGAGAGAAGACUUCACCUGGACUCAGGUGGGAGGGGUCAGAGAGAGAAGACUUUACCUGGACUCAGGUGGGAGGGGUCAGAGAGAGAAAACUUUACCUGGACUCAGGUGGGAGGGGUCAGAGAGAGAGAAGACUUUACCUGGACUCAGGUGGGAGGGGUCAGAGAGAGAAUACCACCUGGACCCAGGUGGGAGGGGUCAGAGAGAGAGAAGACUUCACCUGGACUCAGGUGGGAGGACAAAGGUGCUUUCCGGUUUUCUGGAGGUCCGAUCUACAAAUUGA
RNAcentral lists this long non-coding RNA (1950 nucleotides) under Oryzias javanicus (javanese ricefish). RNAcentral's name for it is "lncRNA (ENSOJAG00000016460.1)". Lineage: Eukaryota; Metazoa; Chordata; Actinopteri; Beloniformes; Adrianichthyidae. The record is from RNAcentral.